UGGGGAAUUUUGGACAAUGGGCGCAAGCCUGAUCCAGCAAUGCCGCGUGCAGGAUGAAGGCCUUCGGGUUGUAAACUGCUUUUGUACGGAACGAAAAGCCUCUCUCUAAUACAGGGGGGUGAUGACGGUACCGUAAGAAUAAGCACCGGCUAACUACGUGCCAGCAGCCGCGGUAAUACGUAGGGUGCAAGCGUUAAUCGGAAUUACUGGGCGUAAAGCGUGCGCAGGCGGUUUUGUAAGACAGUGGUGAAAUCCCCGGGCUCAACCUGGGAACUGCCAUUGUGACUGCAAGGCUGGAGUGCGGCAGAGGGGGAUGGAAUUCCGCGUGUAGCAGUGAAAUGCGUAGAUAUGCGGAGGAACACCGAUGGCGAAGGCAAUCCCCUGGGCCUGCACUGACGCUCAUGCACGAAAGCGUGGGGAGCAAACAGGAUUAGAUACCCUGGUAGUCCACGCCCUAAACGAUGUCAACUGGUUGUUGGGGAUUUAUUUCUUCAGUAACGAAGCUAACGCGUGAAGUUGA
This 520-nucleotide ribosomal RNA is filed under the name uncultured bacterium. Its description in RNAcentral is "partial 16S ribosomal RNA". It matches the Rfam family "Bacterial small subunit ribosomal RNA", at positions 355 to 868 of the family's 1533-position model. The record is from RNAcentral.